GGUUGAGUGGCUGAAGCAGUUCCAGGGGGAUUCAUGGUAAACCGUCCACAUCCGUAAUCGUUCCCAGGAGCUGCUGAUUGCUACAGCUGCCACGUCCUCAUUAUAAAUAGAAGCGCGAGGUGGCU
Erpetoichthys calabaricus (reedfish) is the source of this 125-nucleotide long non-coding RNA. RefSeq lists it as uncharacterized. The transcript is spliced from 2 exons. The record is from RefSeq and is a predicted model, not a curated record. Lineage: Eukaryota; Metazoa; Chordata; Cladistia; Polypteriformes; Polypteridae.